UUUGAACGAUGGCGGCCGGCCUAACACAUGCAAGUUGAACGAGUGGCGGACGGGUGUGUAAUGUCUGGGAAACUGCCCGAUGGAGGGGGAUAACUACUGGAAACGGUAGCUAAUACCGCAUACCAUCGGAUGUGCCCAGCUGGGCUUAGCUAGUAGGUGGGGUAACGGCGCACCUACGCGACGAUCCCUAGCUGGUCUGAGAGGAUGACCAGCCACACUUAGAUAGAGACAAGGUCCAGACUCCGACGGGGGGCAGCAGGGGGGGAUAUUACCAAGUGGGCAAAAGCCUAAUGCCGCCCUGCCGGGUGUAUUAAGAAGGCCUGUGGGUUGUAAAAUACUUUCAGCGAGGAGGCGUUACUCGCAUAAGAAGCACCGGCUAACUCCGUGCCAGCAGCCGCGGUAAUUC
This 406-nucleotide ribosomal RNA is filed under the name uncultured bacterium. RNAcentral's name for it is "partial 16S ribosomal RNA". It matches the Rfam family "Bacterial small subunit ribosomal RNA", at positions 30 to 526 of the family's 1533-position model. The record is from RNAcentral.